RNAcentral lists this ribosomal RNA (1470 nucleotides) under uncultured Bordetella sp. Its description in RNAcentral is "partial 16S-23S ribosomal RNA intergenic spacer". It matches the Rfam family "Bacterial small subunit ribosomal RNA". The record is from RNAcentral. Lineage: Bacteria; Pseudomonadati; Pseudomonadota; Betaproteobacteria; Burkholderiales; Alcaligenaceae.
GUUCGAUUAAAGCUCAGAUUGAACGCUGGCGGAUGCUUACGCUACCCAAGUCGAACGGCGGCACGGACUUUGGUCUGGUGGCGAGUGGCGAACGGGUGAUAAUGUAUCGGAACGUGCUGACAGCAGCAGAGGAUAACUACGCGAAAGCGUAGCUAAUACCACAUACGCCCUUCGGGAAAACGGGGGACCUUCGGGCCUCGCACUAAUGAAGCAGCCGAUAUCGGAUUGGCUAGUUGGUGGGGUAACGGCUCACCAAGGCGACGAUCCGUAGCUGGUUUGAGAGGACGACCAGCCACGCUGGGACAAAUGAGACACGGCCCAGACUCCUACGGGAAGGCAACAGUGGGAAUUUUGGACAAUGGGGAAACCCUGAUCCGACCAUCCCGCGUGUGCGAUGAGCCUUCGGGUUGUAAAGCACUUUUGGCGGAAAGAAACGGCACGGAUAAUACCCCGUGCAACUGACGGUACCUGCAGAAUAAACGUACCGGCUAACUACGUGCCAGCAGCCGCGGUAAUACGUAUGAGGUGCAAGCGUUAAUCGGAAUUACUGGGCGUAAAGCAUUGCGCAGGCGAGUUCGGAAGAAGAUGUGAAAUCGGAGAAGCCUUUGGAACUGCAUUUUUAACUACCGAGCUGAUGUGUCAGGAGGUGGAAUUCCACGUGUAGCAGUGAGAUGCACGUAGAUAUGCGGAGACACCGAUGGCGAAGGCAGACCUCUGGAAAAAGACAGGAUACUGACGCUCAUGCACGAAAGCGUGGGGGCAAACGGGAUUAGAUACCCUGGUAGUCCACGCCUAAACGAUGUCAACUAGCUGUUUAGGGGCCUUCAGGCUGGUAGCGCAGCUAACGUGGGGUUGGUACUGGGAGCCACGGUCGCAAGAUUAAAACUCAAAGGAAUUGACGGGGACCCGCACAAGCGGUGGAUGAUGUGGAUUAAUUCGAUGCAACGCGAAAAACCUUACCUACCCUUACGACAUGUCUGGAAUCCCGAAGAGAUUUGGGGAGUGCUCGCAAAGGAGCAGGUUUGGAGUGCUGCAUGGCCAUCGUCGUCAGCUCGUGUCGUGGAUGUUGGGUUAGAGUCCCGCAACAGGCGCAACCCUUGUCAUUGGUUGCUACGGGCACUCUAAUGGACUGCCGCGGUGACAAACCGGAGAGGUGGAUGACGUCAACUCCUUGUGCCCUUAUGGGUGGAGACCUGCGUCAUACAAUGGUCCGGGACAGAGGUCGCCAACCCGCGAGGAGCCAAUCACAGAAACCCGAUCGUAGUCCGGAUCGCAGUCUGCAACUCGACUGCGUGAAGUCAGGAAUCCUUAAUGUCGCCGGAUCGGCAUGUCGCGGUGAAUACGUUCAGGUCUUGUACACACCGCCCGUCACACCAUGGGAGUGGGUUUUACCAGAAGUGGUGCUUAACCGUAAGGAGGGCGAUUACCACGGUAAGUUCGCUGACUGGGGUGAGUCGCUAGCUAAGGUAA